UCAGGCCUAACACAUGCAAGUCGAACGAGAUUAUAGGGUAAGCUUGCUUACCUUAUAUGACAGUGGCGCACGGGUGCGUAACGCGUAUGCAAUCUACCUUAAUCAGGGGGAUAGCCUCUCGAAAGAGAGAUUAAUACCGCAUAACAUUAUGAUAUGGCAUCAUAUUAUAAUCAAACAUUUAUGGGAUUAAGAUGAGCAUGCGUGACAUUAGCUAGUUGGUGAGGUAACGGCUCACCAAGGCAACGAUGUCUAGGGGAUCUGAGAGGAUGACCCCCCACACUGGUACUGAGACACGGACCAGACUCCUACGGGAGGCAGCAGUAAGGAAUAUUGGUCAAUGGACGCAAGUCUGAACCAGCCAUGCCGCGUGCAGGAAGACGGCCCUAUGGGUUGUAAACUGCUUUUAUACGGGAAUAAACCUUCUUUCGUGAAAGAAGCUGAA
This 442-nucleotide ribosomal RNA is filed under the name uncultured bacterium. RNAcentral's name for it is "bacterial SSU rRNA". It matches the Rfam family "Bacterial small subunit ribosomal RNA", at positions 42 to 473 of the family's 1533-position model. The record is from RNAcentral.